RNAcentral lists this small RNA (127 nucleotides) under Marmota monax (woodchuck). Lineage: Eukaryota; Metazoa; Chordata; Mammalia; Rodentia; Sciuridae. The record is from RNAcentral.
GCCAGGUGCAGUGGCACACGCCUGUAAUCCCAGCAGCUUGGGAGGCUGAGGCAGGAGGAUCACGAGUUCAUAGCCAAUCUCAGCAAUUUAGCAAGGUGCUAAGUAGGUCCGUGAGACCCUGUCUGUA